CUCAAUACAUAUAAUGUAGAGUGAUCCGAUCAGGGUAAUCAGCAUAUCCAUCAUAUCAAACAUUUUUAAUUUAUUUUGGUUGGGAACAUUCAAUAUCUUUCUUCUAGCUAUUUGAAACUAUAUGACUCAGCGGUGGUCACUGUGCAGAUCGGUUUCUUCUCCCUCUCGCAACUCGCACCUCACUCCGCUUUUCUGCAACCAUGUCUGACAAGCCCGAUAUGGCUGAGAUUGAGAAAUUCGGUAAGUCAAAAUUGAAGAAGACAGAAACGCAAGAGAAAAAUCCACUGCCUUCCAAAGAAACGAUUGAACAGGAGAAGCAAGCGGGUGAGUCAUGAGGCGAGCGCCACCAAUAUGCACUGUAUAUUCCACAAGCAUUGCCUUCUUAUUUUACUUCUUUUAGCUGUUUAACUUUGUAAGAUGCAAAGAGGUUGGAUCAAGUUUAAAUGACUGUGCUGCCCCUUUCUCAUCAAGAGAACUACUGACAA
Molecule: non-coding RNA, 485 nt
Organism: Microcebus murinus (gray mouse lemur)
Lineage: Eukaryota; Metazoa; Chordata; Mammalia; Primates; Cheirogaleidae
Source: RefSeq, a predicted model, not a curated record